CGGGGCGUGGCGCAGUUUGGCAGCGCACUUGGUUUGGGACCAAGGGGUCGCCGGUUCAAAUCCGGCCGCCCCGACCA
RNAcentral lists this transfer RNA (77 nucleotides) under Bacillota bacterium. RNAcentral's name for it is "Firmicutes bacterium (anaerobic digester metagenome) tRNA-Pro". It matches the Rfam family "tRNA". From Rfam's summary of the family: Transfer RNA (tRNA) molecules are approximately 80 nucleotides in length. Lineage: Bacteria; Bacillati; Bacillota. The record is from RNAcentral.